CAAUCCAUUUCUGGAUUUUGGAAAAAAAAUCCAAUCCAUCCAAAUCCAUUUCUGGAUUUUGGAAAAAAAUCCAAUCCAUCCAAAUCCAUUUCUGGAUUUUUGAAAAAAAUCCA
Molecule: regulatory RNA element, 113 nt
Organism: Folsomia candida
Lineage: Eukaryota; Metazoa; Arthropoda; Collembola; Entomobryomorpha; Isotomidae
Rfam family: Fusobacteriales-1 RNA
Source: Rfam